Sinocyclocheilus anshuiensis is the source of this 4596-nucleotide RNA transcript. It is a transcript of the gene named gastrula zinc finger protein XlCGF57.1-like, with no coding region annotated. The record is from RefSeq and is a predicted model, not a curated record. Lineage: Eukaryota; Metazoa; Chordata; Actinopteri; Cypriniformes; Cyprinidae. The transcript has 5 exons.
ACGUGACGUCAUAAGGCUGCGACGCUCUCCUGCGUCUGCGAUCCGAGGAAAGAGUGCCCAAACACACAGAAACAUGGCGGUUAUUAAAGAGGAGACUGAAGACUUCAGGAUUGAAGAAGUGUUCAGUCUCAAACCAGAAGAUUUCGAGGAACUAACAGACCUGACAGCAUUUAAAGAGGAGAAAGAAGUACUGAAUGAAGUGGAAGAGAAAGAUCAGUAUGAGAGCCAUCAUGAUUUUAUAAUUGAAGAAAACUCUUUUAAUUGCUCACAGACUAAAAAGACUUCCUCACGAAAAAGAGUUAAAAAAGCUGUAGGAACUAGAAGUUGUUUAACCUGCUUUCAGUGUGGAAAGCUUUUCACUCAAAUAGGAAGCCUUAACAGGCACAUGAGAAUUCACACUGGAGAGAAGCCUUAUUCGUGCCCUCAGUGUGGAAAGUGUUUCGAUCAGCAUGGAAAUCUUAAAGUCCACAUGAGAAGUCACACUGGAGCGAAACUCUACAAGUGCCUGCAGUGUGGAAAAAGUUUUGAUCAACAUGGAAACUUUAAAAUCCACAUGAGAAUUCACAUAGGAGGAAACCCUCUCGCCUGCCAACAGUGUGGAGUAAGUUUCAGAAAGAAAUGGAUUCUCAUCAGACAUAUGAGAAUUCACACUGGAGAGAAGCCUUACACAUGCCCUCAGUGUGGAAAGAGUUUUAAUCAACAUGGAAAUCUUAAACUCCACAUGAGUAUUCAUACAGGAGAAAGGCCUUUUACCUGUCAGCAGUGUGGAAAACGUUUCAAACGAAAAGGAAACCUUAAGUACCACAUGAGAAUUCACACUGGAGAAAGCCCUUUUACCAGCCAACAGUGUGGAGUAAGUUUCACUCAAAAAGGGAUUCUCAAUAGGGACAUGAAAAUUCACACUGGGGAGAAGCCUUACACAUGCCCUCAGUGUGGAAAGGGUUUUCAUCAACAUAGAAACCUUAAACUCCACAUGAAAGUUCAUACAGUAGAAAGGCCUUUUACCUGCCAACAGUGUGGAAAAUGUUUCAAACGAAAAGGAAACCUUAAUUAUCACAUGAGCGUACACACUGGAGAAAGCCAUUUCACCUGCCAGCACUGUGGAUUAAGUUUCACUCAAAUAGGAAGCCUUAACAGGCACAUGAGAAUUCACACUGGAGAGAAACCUUACUCAUGCUCUCAGUGUGGAAAGUGUUUCGAUCAGCAUGGAAAUCUUAAAGUCCACAUUAGGAUUCAUACUGGAGAGAAACCAUACACAUGCCCGCAGUGUGGAAAAAGUUUUGAUCAACAUGGAAACUUUAAAAUCCACAUGAAAAUUCAUACAGGAGAAAACCCUUUUACCUGUCAACAGUGUGGAAAAAGUUUCAACCGAAAAGGAAACCUUAAGUACCACAUGAGAAUUCACACUAGGGAAAAGCCUUACACAUGCUAUCAGUGUGGAAAGAGUUUCGAUCAAAAUGAAAAGCUUAAAGUACACAUGAGAAUUCACACUGGAGAAAGGCCUUUUACCUGCAAACAGUGUGGAAAACAUUUCAAACGAAAAGGAAACCUUGAUUACCACAUGAGCGUACACACUGGAGAAAGCCCUUUCACAUGCCAUCAGUGUGGAAAGAGUUUCGAUCAAAAUGAAAAGCUUAAAGUACACAUCAGAAUUCACACUGGAGAGAAAGCGUUUCAGUCAACAUAGAAAGCUUAAAGUUCAGAUGAGAAUUCAUACUGGAGAGACCCCUUUACCUGCCAACAGUGUGGAACUUUUGAACUUUGAAAAUUAACCCAUAUCUGGCUCAUGAUCACUCAGAACAGAAAGAAGCUAUUUACAUGCGAUUAGUGUGGAGUUUCAGAUAAAUGUUAUCCUUAAGCUCAAUCCUUGAGGAUUCACUUAAGAGAGAAUGUCAUCAAAGUGUUUCCUGUCUGUGAAAUUCCUACCUCUUUGAAGUCAUGUCUUAAAUAUCAUCACUGUGGAAAGACUUGCAGAAACAAAGCAAAUCUUGAGGUUCACACUGGAGAGAAGCCUUUCACUUGCCCCCAGUGUGGGAAGAGUUUCAACCUUAAAGGAAACGUUAGCAUUCACAUGAGACUUCACACUAAAGAAAGUAUUUCACGUGUCUUUAGUGUGAAGAGUUUUAUCAAAGAGCCCUGAAAUGUGGAGUGCUGCUCAGUGUGGCAAAAGGUUUACGAAUAAAGAGCAAUUUCAGUUAUCAGUUGUGCAUUCAUUCUGGAGGAAAACCAUGCAAGAUGUGCAAAUGUGAGACCCUAUUUGUGUUAUUUGUGAUGUCAUUACUCAUGAAAAUACACAUUGUUAGUUGUAUUUAAAAAUGUGUUUUCACUAGUUGUUACACCCCAAGUUUGGGACCAGUUUAAGACUUGCAAAAAGAAAAAAUGUUGCAAUGGCCAGGGGAAAAAGAUAAACAAGAAUGAAUAUGAACUUAAUUUUAUAUCCCAGGGCAUAAUAUUAUUUGUUGUUGUUUUAUACUUUGAUUGCCAUUCUAUGGAUAUACAGUUGCAAACAGAAAUAUUCAACCCCCUCACCUCAAAAGACAUUAUGGUGAUAUCGAUGAACAAUCAUGACAAUAAAUGACAAAAAAUAUAUUUAUAUUAUAUUUAUAAUAUAAGUAUAUAAAAAAUAUUUAUUGAUACAUAUUUGAGUUAAUCUGACAACAGAAGUUGACUUAACUUUGAAGUUCAAAUGAAAAAUGUAACAUUUUUAACAAGUGCAUGUGCAGUAUUAUUCAACCCCCAGCUUCAGUACUUUGUGGAGCAUCCUUUAGCUUUUAUAACUUCUAACAAAUGUUUUUGGUAAGUGCUGACAAGCUUCUUACACCUCUCUAUCAGAAUCUUUGCCCAUUCUUUGCCAAUUUGCCCAGAUUUUCAGAUUUAAAUCUGGUCACUGAGAAGGCCACUCCAGGACGUUCCAGGAUCUUUUUCUCAACCAAGCUUUGGUUGACUUGGAGGUGUGCUUGGGAUCACUGUCUUGCUAGAAAGUCAACAGAAGGCAUCAUGUUCCUCUUUAAAAUGGCCUGGUAUUUCUGGGAAUCCAUGAUGCCAGGUACACGAUCAAGAUUGCCAGUUCCUGCUGCAAGAACAGCCCCACAUCAUCAAUGAGCCACCUCCAUGCUUGACCGUGGGGAUGGUAUUUUUCUGGUCAAAAGCCUGGCCUUUCACAUUCCAUAAAUACCGUUGGUCCAAAUGUCCAAACCGUUCCGGUUUCAUCAGUCAAUAGAAAUGUCUCCCAAAACUCUGAAGUCUUCUCCAAAUUCCUCCUGGCAUAUUCUAGUCAACUUUUGAUGUUCCUUGUGGUCAAGAGUGGAGUGCGUCUUGGAGUCCAGCCAUGAAGUCCUUGUUUAUUCAGUGCAUGUCUUAUAGUUGCUCUUGAAGCACUUGUACCAGCCUUCAUUAGGUCAUCCUGUAGGUGUCUUGCAGUCACACAGAGGUUUUUCUUAGUUGUCCUGACUAAGUUGGUACAGGCCCUUGAUGAAAUUCUGGGCUUCCAUGGCCAGGCAUGUUUGCAGCUGUUCCAUAAGUUUUAAACGUCCUUAUAAUGCUCCCAAUUGUGUCUUGGAAUGUAAAAUUGUUUUAUACCCAAGGCCCUACAGGUGUGAUGAAAUAAUCUCCUCUCUCAGCUUUUGUGGAAGCUCCUUUGUCUUUCCCAUGAUUGCAACUCGCCUUGGAUACCUUCAUGGGUGGGGUUUAUAUAUGCAGCACAGCUGAAGCAAGUCAAGGAUGAUUAUAGAGCUCCCAAAGGCUUAAUUAUGUUGCAACUCCACUUUAUGCCAUAAAAAAUAUGCCAAAACAAAAUAUCCUGUUACACACAAAUACUACAUCAUGCAUUUUCUGUGUUGACUUUGUGUCACUCAACUCAUAAAGAAGUCAUCCAACACAGCAUCUUGUUCUUUGAAAAAACUUGAAUUGAUAAAUCCUUAAUCUUUGUAUGAAUUAUAAUCGUUGUGAAUAUUUCUGAUUGCAACUGUACACGUUGUUGUGCAUAUACUGUGCGUGUAUACCCAUUCUUUUAUGAUGUAACAAUUGGGGGCUUGUCUAUUAACAACAAUUGGAAACUUAUACUACAUUUUGAUAACUAGGGGUGGGCUUACCAAGUUUUUGUUAUUCAGAGGUAAGUGUGUUUGCUUGCUUGGAGGUCAUGUUGAUGAGGUAUGGAUUUGGAUUUAGUAAUGUUUAAAGUAUGUCCUGCAUUAGUAGAGUUUAAUUGUUGAAAAAAUACUUGAUGAUUGCUUGACUUAAAACUAAAGAAAAACAUGACACACAACCUCGAAGCUAAAACCCUCUGUAGAAUGCCAGUUCUUACUCCUAAGUCCAGACCACCUUUAGCUAGUGUUGGGGAGACGGUGAAGUCUGACUUUGACAAGUAUGUAAGGUUAGUGUUUGAUUAGGGUUAGAGCUAAACUCUGCAGGAAAGUGGAUCUUGUGAGCCAGGUUUGAGAAUCACUGCAUUAGUGCAUCAUUUUCAUUUAAAACACAUGGUGUAUUUUAUCCCAUUUGAAAGUGUAGAUACUAAGCCAGUGGUGUCCAAACUUGGUGAUGGAGGGCCACUGUCCUGCAGAGUUUAGCUCCAACCUGCCCCAACACACCUGUCUGGAA